Molecule: ribosomal RNA, 389 nt
Filed under: Aratinga auricapillus (Golden-capped parakeet)
Lineage: Eukaryota; Metazoa; Chordata; Aves; Psittaciformes; Psittacidae
Description: partial 12S ribosomal RNA
Rfam family: Bacterial small subunit ribosomal RNA
Source: RNAcentral
GGCCCUAAAUCUUGAUGCCCCCUAAACACAGGCAUCCGCCUGAGAACUACGAGCAUAAACGCUUAAAACUCUAAGGACUUGGCGGUGCUCUAAACCCACCUAGAGGAGCCUGUUCUAUAAUCGAUAACCCACGAUUCACCCGACCACUUCUUGCCAAAACAGCCUAUAUACCGCCGUCGCCAGCCCACCUCAUGAGAGUACAAUAGUGGGCCCAACAGCCCGGAACCCACUAACAAGACAGGUCGAGGUAUAGCCCAUGAAGUGGAAGAAAUGGGCUACAUUUUCUAAAAUAGAAAACCCAACGAAAGGGGAUCUGAAACCUAUCCCCAGAAGGCGGAUUUAGCAGUAAAGCAGGACAAUCGAGCCUUCUUUAAGUCGGUCCUAGAGCA